GGUGGUUGGUCACGUCUGCUGUGGAAACGCAACGCUUAACGUUGCGCGGGCAGUGGGUACGGGCUGACUAGAGUGCAGUAGGGGAGUCUGGAAUUCCUGGUGUAGCGGUGAAAUGCGCAGAUAUCAGGAGGAACACCGGUGGCGAAGGCGGGACUCUGGGCUGUAACUGACACUGAGGAGCGAAAGCAUGGGGAGCGAACAGGAUUAGAUACCCUGGUAGUCCAUGCCGUAAACGUUGGGCACUAGGUGUGGGGGGCAUUCCACGUUCUCCGCGCCGUAGCUAACGCAUUAAGUGCCCCGCCUGGGGAGUACGGUCGCAAGGCUAAAACUCAAAGGAAUUGACGGGGGCCCGCACAAGCGGCGGAGCAUGCGGAUUAAUUCGAUGCAACGCGAAGAACCUUACCAAGGCUUGACAUGCACUGGAUCGUCCUGGAAACAGGUCUUCCCUUUUUGGGCUGGUGUACAGGUGGUGCAUGGUUGUCGUCAGCUCGUGUCGUGAGAUGUUGGGUUAAGUCCCGCAACGAGCGCAACCCUCGUUCUAUGUUGCCAGCACGUGAUGGUGGGAACUCAUAGGAGACUGCCGGGGUCAACUCGGAGGAAGGUGGGGAUGACGUCAAAUCAUCAUGCCCUUUAUGUCUUGGGCUUCACGCAUGCUACAAUGGCCGGUACAGAGAGAAGCGAGCCCGUGAGGGUCAGCGAAUCCCUUAAAGC
RNAcentral lists this ribosomal RNA (711 nucleotides) under uncultured bacterium. Its description in RNAcentral is "bacterial SSU rRNA". It matches the Rfam family "Bacterial small subunit ribosomal RNA", at positions 574 to 1282 of the family's 1533-position model. The record is from RNAcentral.